This 1004-nucleotide long non-coding RNA is filed under the name Bos indicus x Bos taurus (hybrid cattle). RNAcentral's name for it is "lncRNA (ENSBIXG00000025518.1)". Lineage: Eukaryota; Metazoa; Chordata; Mammalia; Artiodactyla; Bovidae. The record is from RNAcentral.
AUGAUGCAACAAUUAUUCGUGUCAUAUCAGAGAAUCAAACCCCUAUCUCCCCUUCUAUGGUUAAGGUCGGAUGAGGAGGAAGAGGGAACCUGGGGGGAUCCAGGGCAGGAGGUUUUUUGGUGGAAAAAUACAAAUCUGUUCGCCCUGCAGGACGCCGGAUGCCGCCUUCAGCUGCUGCUGCAGACACCUGCCUCCCUCUCCACCCGGGGCCGCUGCGCCUGUCCGGUGAAGUUGAACAGAAGAGACGGGAGGGUGCAGAAGGGCCCCAAAGCUGCACUGCAGACAGCACUUCAUCUCGAACGUCCAAGUCCUACUUUAAGAAGUCCUGACUAAUAUUAAACAGCAGCAAUCUCGAUCGACAGCCGUCUUAAAGAACUGUCCCCAUAACUGUUCCAAAGCAAUCUCAAAGCUUUCUUGGACGGAGAAGGACCCCCCCCCCCCCCCCGCCCAAGGCUCUCUACCACCUACCUGGCGGCGUUUAACAUCCAGGUAGCCCUCAGAGAAAAAGGACCCUGUUUUCCCGCCUGGGGGCGGGGAAGGAGCUUGCGCAUGUUGCGUCUUUCUAUUCCGCACAGAAUUAGGAGCUGGGCCCUUGAGGGAUUCCCUUUUCUUAACUACUCUCUGAGGAUCCGGCCAAUUCUGGCGGGAUUUGCUGGGCUCGAGUAGAACUUAGCGCCCACGGGGUGGGGUGUGAUGGGAGGAAAAGGCGGUAGUGGUGGGUGGAGGGGGACGCAUCUCCUUUCUUUCACAUAAUUGGGGCCGGCGAAACCAGAGGGGGUAGCGCGGUAGGGAGUGUUAUUUACCGCCCUCCACCUGAAAUAAGCAAGACCAAUAACGCGCCACGGUUUUCGCCCUGUUUACUCCAUCCCCAUUCAGUGAUUGGCAAAACAGGCCCUGAAGGCAAAGGCAAUAAUUGCUCCCCGCUCUCCUUACUAGGGAAAAGUGUGUAGGCAUUUGAAGUGUACUAAAAAUAAACGAAGGAGCGAGAAAAUGAAAAGGGGACA